Acipenser ruthenus (sterlet) is the source of this 1013-nucleotide long non-coding RNA. RefSeq lists it as uncharacterized. The transcript is spliced from 4 exons. The record is from RefSeq and is a predicted model, not a curated record. NCBI's taxonomy places the organism in Eukaryota, Metazoa, Chordata, Actinopteri, Acipenseriformes, Acipenseridae.
UACACGGAAAUGUAUUUAUUAUUAUUUUUGUAGUAGGUUUUAUUUUUGUAAUGGGAAAAGGGUAAAGUCCACGUGAAUUGAUUAACCAUUUCCACAGUUUAUUUCUGGUGUUUAUUGGCUAUCCACCUAUUUAAUUUUUUUUUGUAUCGGGGUUUAUCGGUUAAAACCGAAAAUCAGAAGCAAAUGGAAGUCAUAUUCCUCAUAGAUACCUUUAAAAUGUUUUUUAAACAUUUCUGAAAGGUUAAUGAACCACGGCAAAAUAUCUCAUUUGUAGGUUUAAAACAAAAACAGCUAUGGAUACAAUCGUUCAUUUUUUUCCUUUGCUUUAAAUGAACUACAAAGUGGCAAGAUGGCUUGAAGAAUGGAAAAGGAGUGGGAACAUGUGUAGUGUUUGGAAUGGAGAGAACAGAGGGAAGUGAAACAAGCCUGUACAUGGACUUUCCUGACUGUUUAGAGACACCUCGUGUGGCAUGCCAGGAUCCGCGCAUGAUGCUGCGGCAUUCCGCUCUUCAGGAUUGAAUAUGUGUCAACACGCACUUCCGCAGGCAAUACAGCAUAUAGGGGAUCAGGGUGUUGCAUACCCCAACUUCCCUGACUUAUGAAACCCUAUCCGUCCAGACAUCUGACAGCUGCGGAGGAAGCAUUCAACACCAUGCUUGGGCGAGUACGGGUAGUGGUUGAACAGGCUUUUGGGCACUUGAAAGGGCUGUGGCGGGUACUGCUGAAAUGGUCUGAAGUGCAACAUGAGUGUGUUCCUAAAAUUGCCACUGCCUGCUGUAUCCUGCACAAUCUGUGUCAAGAACAAAACGAAGUGUUCAGGAAUCAGUGGCUGCAGUCUGUGAGACAAACAGGGAGAAGGUUACCUCAGCUGCCAGUUUCAACUGGACACCAGCAAUCUGAGGAGGCUUGUGCUGUCAGAGACUCUCUCCUUUCUUUUAAGUUUGAGUAAUUACCAUUGUGUUAAAUAUUAAUGAUGUAAACAAAUAAAACACAAUCAAUACAUUCAUUUAAAA